CCCGACUACAUGAAGCUGGAAUCGCUAGUAAUCGCGGAUCAGAAUGCCGCGGUGAAUACGUUCCCGGGUCUUGUACACACCGCCCGUCACACCAUGGGAGUCGGAAAUGCCCGAAGUCAGUGACCCAACCGUAAGGAGGGAGCUGCCGAAGGUGGAGCCGGUAACUGGGGUGAAGUCGUAACAAGGUAAC
RNAcentral lists this ribosomal RNA (190 nucleotides) under uncultured bacterium. RNAcentral describes it as "partial 16S ribosomal RNA". It matches the Rfam family "Bacterial small subunit ribosomal RNA", at positions 1311 to 1500 of the family's 1533-position model. The record is from RNAcentral.